UUGCAGCUUAUUAAGCCGACCAGUUCUACUCCAGUGUGUUACUGGUGUGCAAAAGCUGCAGACAGUGACUCUUUGGUUGUGUAUGUCCUCAGCUGGGAGGUGCUGAGUGCUUUAAGGGACCACUGAGACAAAU
Molecule: small nucleolar RNA, 133 nt
Organism: Betta splendens (Siamese fighting fish)
Lineage: Eukaryota; Metazoa; Chordata; Actinopteri; Anabantiformes; Osphronemidae
Gene: SNORA70
Rfam family: Small nucleolar RNA SNORA70
About the family: snoRNA U70 seems to be exclusive to mammals and is a member of the H/ACA class of snoRNA which contain H (ANANNA) and ACA box motifs. H/ACA box snoRNAs are involved in the conversion of uridines to pseudouridines (5-ribosyluracil) a constituent of structural RNAs (transfer, ribosomal, small nuclear, and small nucleolar).
Source: Ensembl